UGCCAUCAUGCUAAUGUUAGGUUGACUGC
RNAcentral lists this non-coding RNA (29 nucleotides) under Rattus norvegicus (Norway rat). The record is from RNAcentral. Lineage: Eukaryota; Metazoa; Chordata; Mammalia; Rodentia; Muridae.